RNAcentral lists this ribosomal RNA (253 nucleotides) under uncultured bacterium. RNAcentral describes it as "partial 16S ribosomal RNA". It matches the Rfam family "Bacterial small subunit ribosomal RNA", at positions 524 to 776 of the family's 1533-position model. The record is from RNAcentral.
UACGUAGGGUGCAAGCGUUGUCCGGAAUUAUUGGGCGUAAAGCGCACGUAGGCGGAUUUGUAAGUCAGGGGUGAAAUCCCGGGGCUCAACCCCGGAACUGCCUUUGAUACUGCGAAUCUCGAGUCCGGAAGAGGUGAGUGGAAUUCCUAGUGUAGAGGUGAAAUUCGUAGAUAUUAGGAAGAACACCAGUGGCGAAGGCGGCUCACUGGUCCGGUACUGACGCUGAGGUGCGAAAGCGUGGGGAGCAAACAGG